RNAcentral lists this ribosomal RNA (842 nucleotides) under uncultured bacterium. RNAcentral describes it as "bacterial SSU rRNA". It matches the Rfam family "Bacterial small subunit ribosomal RNA", at positions 90 to 916 of the family's 1533-position model. The record is from RNAcentral.
GUAAAGCGGCGAACGGGUGAGUAACACGUAACGAACCUACCUUUCGCGUUGGGGACAACCACAGGAAACUGGGGCUAAUACCCAAUGGUCUCUUUUCUCAUAAGAGGAACGAGUAAAGACGCUUUUGUGUCACGCGAAGGGGGUGUUGCGGCCUAUCAGCUUGUUGGUGAGGUAACGGCUUACCAAGGCUAUGACGGGUAGGGGGUCUGAGAGGAUGGCCCCCCACAUGGGGACUGAGACACGGCCCUGACUCCUACGGGAGGCAGCAGUGGGGAAUCCUCGUCAAUGGGCGAAAGCCUGAACGAGCGACACCGCGUGAGGGAUGAAGCCCUUCGGGGUGUAAACCUCUUUUCUGGGGGAAGAAUAAGUGCAGGAAUGGAAUGCCUGCAUGAUGACGGUACCCCAGGAAUAAGGGACGGCUAACUCUGUGCCAGCAGCCGCGGUAAGACAGAGGUCCCGAGCGUUAUCCGGAUUCACUGGGCGUGAAGGGCGUCUAGGCGGUCUCGUAAGUCACCUGUGAAAGCUCCUGGCUCAACUGGGAGAGGUCGGGUGAAACUACGGGGCUAGAGCCUCGGAGGGGAGAGUGGAACUUCCAGAGUAACGGUGAAAUGUGCAGAUACUGGAAGGUACCUCGAUAGCGAAGGCAGCUCUCUGGCCGACGGCUGACGCUAAAGCGCGAAAGCGUGGGGAGCAAACCGGAUUAGAUACCCGGGUAGUCCACGCCCCAAACGAUGUCAACUAGGUGUUGGAUCCUUUAACUGAGGUCCAGUGCCGCAGCUAACGCGUUAAGUUGACCGCCUGGGGACUACGGCCGCAAGGUUAAAACUCAAAUGAAUUGACGG